CAACUAAGUGUCGCAAAGAUGCGUAUGUUGCGUUGGAUAUGUGGGCACACAAGUUUGGACCGAGUGAGAAACAAUGACAUACACGAUCGGCUAGGAGUAGCGCCAAUUGAAGAAAAGCUUAUUCAACACCGGUUGAGAUGGUUUGGGCAUGUCCACCGGAGACCCCAGAGGCACCGGUGCAUAGAGGCAUCAUAAGACGGGACAAUAAUGUGAAGAGAGGUAGAUGACGACCAAACUUGACAUGAGAGGAGGCAAUCAAAAGGGACUUGAAAGAAUGGAAUAUCCCAAUGGAGUUGUGUUUGGAUAGAAGUGCUUGGAAAGAAGCUAUCCACGUGUCGAACCGUGAUUACGCCUUUUCCCUUUUAGAGCUCUCAAAAGAUUUUCCCCUCCCUUUUCUCUCUCUUUCUCUUUGGUGACAUCUUGUUGGGUUUCAACUCUAGCCUACCCCAACUUUCUUGGGACUAAAAGGCUAUGUUGAUGUUGAUGUUGAGAUGGUUUGGGCAUGUCCACCGGAGACCCCUAGAGGCACCAUAAGACGGGACAGUAAUGUGAAGAGAGGUAGAGGGCAGCCAAACUUGACAUGGGAGGAGGCAAUCGAAAG
RNAcentral lists this long non-coding RNA (601 nucleotides) under Zea mays. RNAcentral describes it as "long non-coding RNA (ZMAY_LNC001989)". The record is from RNAcentral. Lineage: Eukaryota; Viridiplantae; Streptophyta; Magnoliopsida; Poales; Poaceae.